Molecule: ribosomal RNA, 366 nt
Filed under: Siphlophis ayauma (Devil's head spotted night snake)
Lineage: Eukaryota; Metazoa; Chordata; Lepidosauria; Squamata; Dipsadidae
Description: partial 16S ribosomal RNA
Rfam family: Bacterial large subunit ribosomal RNA
Source: RNAcentral
UGUCUAUUAAUUGUAGACCAGCAUGAAAGGCAACAUGAGGGCCUAACUGUCUCUUAUAAUAAAUCAAUAAAACUGAUCUCCUAGUAAAAAAGCUAGAAUUUUACCAUAAGACCAGAAGACCCUGUGAAGCUUAAACUAAACUAUUAAAACAUAUAAUAACUACUUUCGGUUGGGGCGACCUUGGAAAAAAAAAGAACUUCCAAUACAUCAACAUACCAAACCAAACUAGGCCUACAAGCCACAUACUAUGACCCAGCAUAGCUGAUCAUUGAACCAAGUUACUCCAGGGAUAACAGCGCCAUCUUCUUCAAGAGCCCAUAUCAAAAAGAAGGUUUACGACCUCGAUGUUGGAUCAGGACAUCCCAA